Molecule: long non-coding RNA, 1118 nt
Filed under: Cricetulus griseus (Chinese hamster)
Lineage: Eukaryota; Metazoa; Chordata; Mammalia; Rodentia; Cricetidae
Description: lncRNA (ENSCGRG00015032190.1)
Source: RNAcentral
CUGCGUUUGUGCUUUCGGUUUCUCUUUGCUGCUUGCUGUACAGACCGAUACCACGCUGGCUGGCUAGGUUGCUCUGCUUCUCUGUAUGGGCUAGUUGGAGUUUCCAAACAGCUUGGUGGACUGAGAAUUGUCACACUGUGCACAAGGCAGGGUACAACUCUUGCACAGUUGUAGCCAGAGAACCAACUAAAGGUACCCAUAUUCUACCAUGAGCCUUGGGAAUUGCCCAGCAUUACUUCUUCAGUGUACGCUGGAACAACUGUAAACCUGCCCAAUUUCAAUGGGAAGGAAUGUGGAUUCCAACUCUCAAAGGUAUAGCUCCUUGAUGCAGAGGCCCCAUUUGUCCUUCUAUGUGAGCCCCUGAACUGCUGCCACCUCCAAAUGAAGGACACAGACAUGCAGGAGAGGGAUAUGGCUUCCAAGUUCCCUAGCUCCCAGCCUGCCUGCCUCACUGAAGACAGAUGAAGAAGCAGAUGUAGGCUAGGAGAUCUACACCCAGAUGAUGGUGCUGCUCAUUCUUAAGAUGGGACUUCCCACGUCACCUAACGAAAUCAAGACAGUCUCCCACAGACACGCCCACUGGCCAACCUAAUACAGACAAUCCCUCAUUGAGACUCUUCCCAGGUGAUUGACAGUUAAACCUAACUCACUUUCAUAUCACUCAUUACACAGUAAUGCUGCCUGACUCAACUGUGUCUAACUCAUACACCAGUUGCCACCUGUGUCUGUUUCUUAUCAGAGUCUACAGUGUGGGAGCUCUCUGAGAGAGGAGCAGAGCUAGUAGAAGGAAUGCUCAGAGUUAAUGGGAACUUUGGCACCAAAUUUAAGUAAUCUUAGGUUUUCCUUACCAAGUAGAUGAGGAAUGUUUUUUACCAGAACUUUAUCAUAGUCAUAUAACAAAGUUUCCAUGAUUAAUAUUUGGACUCUAUAUGUAUGUGCUGAAGAAGCAGGAUGAUAGAAGGGAAAUUUCAACACAAUAAAUUCAUUAUUUACUAUACAUUUAAUAAAAAUUAAGGUAGUGCUCUUUGGGAAGAGUAUUAAAUAAAAAAUUUUCCAGGAGUUCCGUCUGGUGUUUUGUGAUAAGGUUUAACUAUGUAGCCCAGGCUGGCCUUGAACUC